Molecule: long non-coding RNA, 1366 nt
Filed under: Nicotiana benthamiana
Lineage: Eukaryota; Viridiplantae; Streptophyta; Magnoliopsida; Solanales; Solanaceae
Description: long non-coding RNA (NBEN_LNC003013)
Source: RNAcentral
CGUCUACAUAUUACUCUCCCCAAACCCCACUUUGUGGGACUAUACUGGGUAGUUGUUGUUGUCCCUGGUUAUGCAUCGACUUAGUUUACCCUUUCUUUAAAAUUCUCACUUGGGAGAGCAAGGUGAGAGAACCCACUUUCCACCGAGCUUCGAAAACAAAAAUAAUAGAUUUUUCAGUAAUCCAAGAAAUAUAUUUAUAAAAAAUAACUCACUUUUUUGGGUGUAUGCCAGCUUGUGCCUAGCUCUUCAGACUGGACAAGUCAGACUGAGGUCAGUAGGUGCAGGGUUGGGAGCUUUGGAAGUAAGAACCUUGCCUGUUUGGAUAGUGCAUGGUUGGUAUGUCAGAUUUUGGUGGAUUGCUGGUUGGUGUCAAUGAGUGAGAAGCUAGUCUACCUAUCUUAUAGGAGAUCUCUCUUACCAAGUUCUGCUACAUGCGAUGAUGAGCAGUUUCCAAAUAUUAAAUGUGUAAGUAAGUGGAUGUCUUGGCAGCAGUUAACAUGUCUGCCUGGAAAUUCUUCAAUGGGAUUUUGCAUGAGAUCACGGAGAAGUAGUUAUCAGGGGCUAACUAUGGAUGUUUUACGGAAAUAAGUUUGUGAUUGUGUAUGCAUAUGGUUAUCUCAACUUUUGAUUUGUUUCAAUGUCAACUAGUGGCGAUAUCCUGUCAUGUAUGUUAUUUAAAUUUGUUGUGCUUGUGAUCCAGUUACAGAUUGUUGUUGGAUAGUUAGUGUUCGGUCAUCUGUAUCUUGGUAUGGCAUUUUCCCAAAGCUGAGAAUGCCCAAACCUUUUGUUUCGCUGGGCACCCUGUUGUCAUUGUUUCCGGUAUAGUGCAUCAUGCCUUUUCGUUCUUCAAUGUUGUAAGUGUCGUAUUUUGGCCUUGAUUUUACCAGUAGCAAGCAUUGGCUCUCUAUUAUGGUGCUGUAAGUAUCUCCAGUGCUAUCCAAGUUGGGGGCCAACAGUCAGCAAGAUUAACUAGGUAGUCUUAUAUGGUCAAAGGAAAAUCCUUUUCGCUUGAAUUCUCUUUGUAUUAUAUAUUUGCAGUUUUACUAAAAUUGAUUAGAGAAAAGCAAAAUGACAAAAUAAUUUUGUGGCGAGAAGUUAUGCUUUUUAGUGUUAAAAGACGGUAACAUUGUUUCUUCCCCUUAUUCUGAAACUAUUAACUUGUCAACAAUUGCAAAAAAUAAAUCUUCGGAGUCGUCAUGUCUUGCUUAUUUGCCAUAAAAAUUCCAUAACUCAGCCAUAAAAUAGCUGGCACAUUUUCAUGGCUUUAGCUUCUGGUUGGCUCUGGAAAUACAUAAAGCCAACACAAUGAAGCACAACUUGCUUAGGUGUAACUAUUCUGGCAACUACACUGUCACUUGAAUCCUGC